AGUGAACGCUGGCGGUAGGCCUAACACAUGCAAGUCGAACGGCAGCACAGUAAGAGCUUGCUCUUACGGGUGGCGAGUGGCGGACGGGUGAGGAAUACAUCGGAAUCUACUUUUUCGUGGGGGAUAACGUAGGGAAACUUACGCUAAUACCGCAUACGAUCUACGGGUGAAAGUAGGGGAUCUUCGGACCUUGCGCGAUUGAAUGAGCCGAUGUCGGAUUAGCUAGUUGGCGGGGUAAAGGCCCACCAAGGCGACGAUCCGUAGCUGGUCUGAGAGGAUGAUCAGCCACACUGGAACUGAGACACGGUCCAGACUCCUACGGGAGGCAGCAGUGGGGAAUAUUGGACAAUGGGCGCAAGCCUGAUCCAGCCAUGCCGCGUGAGUGAAGAAGGCCUUCGGGUUGUAAAGCCCUUUUGUUGGGAAAGAAAAGCUGCGGGUUAAUACCCCGCUGUUCUGACGGUACCCAAAGAAUAAGCACCGGCUAACUUCGUG
This 492-nucleotide ribosomal RNA is filed under the name uncultured bacterium. RNAcentral's name for it is "partial 16S ribosomal RNA". It matches the Rfam family "Bacterial small subunit ribosomal RNA", at positions 29 to 507 of the family's 1533-position model. The record is from RNAcentral.